CCUACUGGGGGCUGCAGUGGGGAAUAUUGAACAAUGGGGGCAACCCUGAUCCAGCCAUGCCGCGUGUGUGAAGAAGGCCCUCGGGUUGUAAAGCACUUUCAGUGAGGAAGAACGCCUGGUGGUUAAUACCCAUCAGGAAAGACAUCACUCACAGAAGAAGCACCGGCUAACUCCGUGCCAGCAGCCGCGGUAAUACGGAGGGUGCGAGCGUUAAUCGGAAUUACUGGGCGUAAAGCGCGCGUAGGUGGCUUGAUAAGCCGGUUGUGAAAGCCCCGGGCUCAACCUGGGAACGGCAUCCGGAACUGUCAAGCUAGAGUGCAGGAGAGGAAGGUAGAAUUCCCGGUGUAGCGGUGAAAUGCGUAGAGAUCGGGAGGAAUACCAGUGGCGAAGGCGGCCUUCUGGACUGACACUGACACUGAGGUGCGAAAGCGUGGGUAGCAAACAGGAUUAGAUACCCCAGUAGUC
RNAcentral lists this ribosomal RNA (465 nucleotides) under Vreelandella stevensii. RNAcentral's name for it is "partial 16S ribosomal RNA". It matches the Rfam family "Bacterial small subunit ribosomal RNA", at positions 338 to 795 of the family's 1533-position model. Lineage: Bacteria; Pseudomonadati; Pseudomonadota; Gammaproteobacteria; Oceanospirillales; Halomonadaceae. The record is from RNAcentral.